CAGAGAGCUUGCUCUCUUGAAGUUAGUGGCGAACGGGUGAGUAACGCGUAAUCAACCUGCCCUUCAGAGGGGGAUAACAACGGGAAACCGUUGCUAAUACCGCGUACGAUUCAUGAACGGCAUCGUUUAUGAAUGAAAGGUGGCCUCUAUGUAUAAGCUAUCGCUGAAGGAGGGGAUUGCGUCUGAUUAGCUAGUUGGAGGGGUAACGGCCCACCAAGGCAAUGAUCAGUAGCCGGUCUGAGAGGAUGAACGGCCACAUUGGGACUGAGACACGGCCCAAACUCCUACGGGAGGCAGCAGUGGGGAAUCUUCCGCAAUGGACGAAAGUCUGACGGAGCAACGCCGCGUGAGUGAUGAAGGUCUUCGGAUUGUAAAGCUCUGUUAAUCGGGACGAAAGAGUUCUGUGUAAAUAAUGCAGAAAAGUGACGGUACCGGAAUAGAAAGCCACGGCUAACUACGUGCCAGCAGCCGCGGUAAUACGUAGGUGGCAAGCGUUGUCCGGAAUUAUUGGGCGUAAAGCGCGCGCAGGCGGCCUAUCCAGUCUGUCUUAAAAGUUCGGGGCUCAACCCCGUGAUGGGAUGGAAACUAGUAGGCUAGAGUAUCGGAGAGGAAAGCGGAAUUCCUAGUGUAGCGGUGAAAUGCGUAGAUAUUAGGAAGAACACCAGUGGCGAAGGCGGCUUUCUGGACGAAAACUGACGCUGAGGCGCGAAAGCCAGGGGAGCGAACGGGAUUAGAUACCCCGGUAGUCCUGGCCGUAAACGAUGGGUACUAGGUGUAGGAGGUAUCGACCCCUUCUGUGCCGG
Molecule: ribosomal RNA, 803 nt
Filed under: uncultured Veillonellaceae bacterium
Lineage: Bacteria; Bacillati; Bacillota; Negativicutes; Veillonellales; Veillonellaceae
Description: bacterial SSU rRNA
Rfam family: Bacterial small subunit ribosomal RNA
Source: RNAcentral